This is a long non-coding RNA of Ananas comosus (pineapple), 1008 nucleotides long. RefSeq lists it as uncharacterized. The record is from RefSeq and is a predicted model, not a curated record. NCBI's taxonomy places the organism in Eukaryota, Viridiplantae, Streptophyta, Magnoliopsida, Poales, Bromeliaceae. The transcript has 6 exons.
GCGAAUCUGCAGGGACUAAUUUGCGAACCUGCAAGGACUGUUUUGCAAACUGCUGGACUGCAAUGCAGUUUCAGCCUUGUGAGGGAUUAGUCGGCAAUUAGUUGAUCUUAUCACUUCACCCAGCAGCCCCCAGCCCUGUCUACGUGUUGGACUUCCUCCCUCUCCUUCUUUUCUUAUAUCUAUCUCCUCUUUUAUAUCUCUAGAACCUGGUUAAAGCCUUGUGAGAGAGAGAGCCUGUGGAGUGGAAAUUUUUGUUGAUGGAGCUAAGAAGAGAAACUGUGGAGCUGACAGGAAGCUUGUGGAGCUGAAGAAACCCUUGGGGAAACUCCAAAUCCAGGAUUGAGGGGGAAGCUACAGAGUAGAAAUUUCGGGCUAUUGGAGCUGAGAAUAACCUGGUAUAAUACCUAAUUAAGAUAUGCAGGAAAUUAAGAAGUGAUUGUAGAAGUGUGAAGGGGCUGUCUUGUAGAUCUUGGCGCCCAAAUUGGAAGAGACCUGGUGAAUCUCUUUGAUAUUUCGAAUUGAAAGGGGGGACUUGGUGGAGCUCUGAAUCCAGGAGCUAGGAGAAAACGUUAGUGAGGAAGUAAGUGUGCAGAAUUUCAGCAUGGUGCAGAUUUUGAGGUUGAGCUGAAAUUGCUUCCUUAUUAGAGCUUCUUUGGUGUCCAAACUAAAAGAGGACCAAGUGGAACUUCAAGCUCAGGUUAGACGUGCUCGGAAGUUCGAAUUGACAUUCCGACGAUCUUACGAUGCGCUAUUUAAGAAACGCUUCAUUCUAGCUCUAUUUGUAUUGAGUCGCGAGAGCUAGUUGUUGACGCAUUUCGAGACGUUGGUUCUUAUCUGUUGGCAUCCCUACAGGUUUCGCCCUCAACAAACUCACCAACUCAAAAUCCCAAUGAUCGGAGAGAUACUCGCUACACUCGAUGGGACCGCCCUCUGGGGAGAUACUCGCUACACCCAGUGAUGUCGACUCCGGAGCAUAUCGCCCGAGGGGGAGCUACCACAACCUCGAGC